RNAcentral lists this non-coding RNA (92 nucleotides) under Pediococcus acidilactici. Its description in RNAcentral is "TPP sequence". It matches the Rfam family "TPP riboswitch aptamer (THI element)". Rfam says of the family: Vitamin B(1) in its active form thiamin pyrophosphate (TPP) is an essential coenzyme that is synthesised by coupling of pyrimidine and thiazole moieties in bacteria. RNAcentral also lists the same sequence under 1 other name. The record is from RNAcentral. Lineage: Bacteria; Bacillati; Bacillota; Bacilli; Lactobacillales; Lactobacillaceae.
ACAACAAUGCUGGGGUGCCGUUUUGGCUGAGAUAAUACCCAUUGAACCUGGUCUAAUUAGUAUUAGCGUAGGGAGAUAUUGGAUAAUAACAG